AUAACGGCGUCGAGCGGCGGACGGGUGAGUAAUGCCUAGGAAAUUGCCCUGAUGUGGGGGAUAACCAUUGGAAACGAUGGCUAAUACCGCAUGAUGCCUACGGGCCAAAGAGGGGGACCUUCGGGCCUCUCGCGUCAGGAUAUGCCUAGGUGGGAUUAGCUAGUUGGUGAGGUAAGGGCUCACCAAGGCGACGAUCCCUAGCUGGUCUGAGAGGAUGAUCAGCCACACUGGAACUGAGACACGGUCCAGACUCCUACGGGAGGCAGCAGUGGGGAAUAUUGCACAAUGGGCGCAAGCCUGAUGCAGCCAUGCCGCGUGUAUGAAGAAGGCCUUCGGGUUGUAAAGUACUUUCAGUCGUGAGGAAGGCGGCGUCGUUAAUAGCGGCGUUGUUUGACGUUAGCGACAGAAGAAGCACCGGCUAACUCCGUGCCAGCAGCCGCGGUAAUACGGAGGGUGCGAGC
RNAcentral lists this ribosomal RNA (461 nucleotides) under Vibrio sp. MA-5. Its description in RNAcentral is "bacterial SSU rRNA". It matches the Rfam family "Bacterial small subunit ribosomal RNA", at positions 82 to 539 of the family's 1533-position model. The record is from RNAcentral. Lineage: Bacteria; Pseudomonadati; Pseudomonadota; Gammaproteobacteria; Vibrionales; Vibrionaceae.